RNAcentral lists this ribosomal RNA (253 nucleotides) under uncultured bacterium. RNAcentral describes it as "partial 16S ribosomal RNA". It matches the Rfam family "Bacterial small subunit ribosomal RNA", at positions 524 to 776 of the family's 1533-position model. The record is from RNAcentral.
GACAGAGGGUGCAAACGUUGUUCGGAAUUACUGGGCGUAAAGCGCGUGUAGGCGGCCCUGCAAGUCGGAUGUGAAAUCCCACGGCUCAACCGUGGAAGUGCAUUCGAAACUGCAGGGCUAGAGUCCUGGAGAGGAAGGUGGAAUGCUUGGUGUAGAGGUGAAAUUCGUAGAUAUCAAGCGGAACACCGGUGGCGAAGGCGGCCUUCUGGACAGUGACUGACGCUGAGACGCGAAAGCGUAGGGAGCGAACCGG